AGGAGAGUUUGAUCCUGGCUCAGGAUGAACGCUGGCGGCGUGCUUAACACAUGCAAGUCGAACGGAGACUGUUGAUGAAGCGGAAGGGCUUGCCCGGAAGUGGAAUUGAUAGUCUUAGUGGCGGACGGGUGAGUAACGCGUGGGUAACCUACCUCAUACAGGGGGAUAGCAGUUGGAAACGACUGAUAAAACCGCAUAAAACGGUAGCAGGGCAUCCUGCAACCGUCAAAUAUUUAUAGGUAUGAGAUGGGCCCGCGUCUGAUUAGGCAGUUGGCGAGGCAAUGGCUCACCAAACCUACGAUCAGUAGCCGGCCUGAGAGGGUGAACGGCCACAUUGGGACUGAGACACGGCCCAAACUCCUACGGGAGGCAGCAGUGGGGAAUAUUGGACAAUGGGGGGAACCCUGAUCCAGCGACGCCGCGUGAGUGAAGAAGUAUUUCGGUAUGUAAAGCUCUAUCAGCAGGGAAGAUGAUGACGGUACCUGACUAAGAAGCCCCGGCUAACUACGUGCCAGCAGCCGCGGUAAUACGUAGGGGGCAAGCGUUAUCCGGAUUUACUGGGUGUAAAGGGAGCGUAGGCGGCCACGCAAGUCAGAAGUGAAAGCCCGGGGCUUAACCCCGGGACUGCUUUUGAAACUGCGCGGCUCGAGUACAGGAGAGGCAGGCGGAAUUCCUAGUGUAGCGGUGAAAUGCGUAGAUAUUAGGAAGAACACCGGUGGCGAAGGCGGCCUGCUGGACUGAGACUGACGCUGAGGCUCGAAAGCGUGGGGAGCAAACAGGAUUAGAUACCCUGGUAGUCCCCU
RNAcentral lists this ribosomal RNA (803 nucleotides) under uncultured Bacillota bacterium. Its description in RNAcentral is "bacterial SSU rRNA". It matches the Rfam family "Bacterial small subunit ribosomal RNA", at positions 1 to 799 of the family's 1533-position model. Lineage: Bacteria; Bacillati; Bacillota. The record is from RNAcentral.